UUGGAGGGCAAGUCUGGUGCCAGCAGCCGCGGUAAUUCCAGCUCCAAUAGCGUAUAUUAAAGUUGUUGCAGUUAAAAAGCUCGUAGUUGAAUUUCGAGACCGGCUUACUGGUCGUGCUAUUGUACGUACUGGUAUAAUCGGUUUCUCCUUUCUGACGAACUUUAAUGCCAUUAAUUUGGUGUUUUAGGGAAUCAGGACUGUUGCUUUGAAAAAAUUAGAGUGUUUAAAGCAGGCUCACGCUUGAAUACAUUAGCAUGGAAUAACGGAAUAGGACGUUUGAUUCUAUUUUGUUGGUUUCUAGGAUCGACGUAAUGAUUAAUAGGGAUAGUUGGGGGCAUUAGUAUUCAAUUGUCAGAGGUGAAAUUCUUGGAUUUAUUGAAGACUAACUACUGCGAAAGCAUUUGCCAAGGAUGUUUUCAUUAAUCAAGAACGAAAGUUAGGGGAUCGAAGACGAUCAGAUACCGUCGUAGUCUUAACCAUAAACUAUGCCGACUAGGGAUCGGAUGAUGUUAAUUUUUUAAUGACUCAUUCGGCGCCUUACGGGAAAC
RNAcentral lists this ribosomal RNA (548 nucleotides) under uncultured Glomus. RNAcentral describes it as "SSU rRNA". It matches the Rfam family "Eukaryotic small subunit ribosomal RNA", at positions 548 to 1098 of the family's 1831-position model. The record is from RNAcentral. Lineage: Eukaryota; Fungi; Glomeromycota; Glomeromycetes; Glomerales; Glomeraceae.